CCAAGUCUUUUGGGCUUUUGCCUAUGUCAUUUUGACAGAACCACAAAUAGAGCACAGGUUCCAAAUUCAAACGGAAGUCCUACACAUCAAAGCAUUUAUACAACAAAUCGAUAGGUUAUAUAUCGUCCUGCAGUUUCACUUGGCCUGAUGAUCUUCACGACUUGCCCCCGCUUCAGCCCAAAAUAUCUAGCAAUUGGGUCAGAUACCUGAAUGCGAGGCAACUGUGUUUCUUUCACAGUGUAUCUCUCCAACAAUGUCUUCUUCUCUUCACUUGUAAGCACCUGAUGCUCAGGUACAAGAACAUGUUCUUUAAUGUUGACCAAAAGUUCAGCCUCCUGGAAGACCUCCAAUUGGAAUUUAGCAGCUAUCUCAGAUAUACACGUUCGAGCAAAAGGAGUCAAAUUCUGUUGAACAACCAAUAUUGCUCUAAAAACAUUCUCAGACUUCAUGCGGUUGGUAUAAGUCUUCAUUGUCUUGACUCCAACCUUCUGUUCCUCAGGAAAGAAAACAUAAAUCUGAUCAGAGGCAUCAUUGCGCUUUGAUUUGUUGAUAACAAGAUCUUCCCUUUUCAUGUUCUCACCAAAUUUCGAAAUGAACUGCUCCCUUGUCAUGUUGAUCUCAAAGUCUCCAACAAAAUAACCCCUAUCCUUGAGCAUUUGCAUUACCGUCUUUCGAAUUCUGAAAAGCCUCUUAAUUUCAUCCUCCGAUAGAGUCAUUUUUUCGCUGGGAGGGGAUUUCUUCUUUGCAGCGUAGGAUGAGCAGCGGCAAAGGAGUUGCAGGCGAGAAACUCCAGGCGACGGUUUCCUGUGCUGCAGCUACAAUGAUGGGCGAGACCAAAAGAAAGAGGAGGAAAAGAUGAGGGAUUCUGUGCAAUGCAGAGACAACGACUCGGUGAUAAUAAGAGGGAAGAGCUGCUGACUGAGGGAUUAGGUUUACA
Molecule: unclassified non-coding RNA, 937 nt
Filed under: Hevea brasiliensis (rubber tree)
Lineage: Eukaryota; Viridiplantae; Streptophyta; Magnoliopsida; Malpighiales; Euphorbiaceae
Source: RNAcentral